UAUUCUGCCCUACAGGGAAGGAUGAGAAGCUUCGACUAAGGUUCGACUCGAGCGAAGCGAGAGAACGUUGCCGCAGGCAACGGCCCGAAGGGCGAGGCGCUUUAGCGCCGAGUAAUCCUUCCCCCACCACCA
This 132-nucleotide small RNA is filed under the name Klebsiella pneumoniae. RNAcentral's name for it is "RtT sRNA". It matches the Rfam family "RtT RNA". From Rfam's summary of the family: This family represents a bacterial cis-regulatory element known as RtT RNA. The record is from RNAcentral. Lineage: Bacteria; Pseudomonadati; Pseudomonadota; Gammaproteobacteria; Enterobacterales; Enterobacteriaceae. RNAcentral also lists the same sequence under 40 other names.